Long non-coding RNA from Rattus rattus (black rat), 830 nucleotides. RefSeq lists it as uncharacterized. Lineage: Eukaryota; Metazoa; Chordata; Mammalia; Rodentia; Muridae. The transcript has 5 exons. The record is from RefSeq and is a predicted model, not a curated record.
CUGGGAGCAGUCCGCCGCCUCCCUCCGAGCGCAGGACGCUCCGACGCCCGCCUGCCCGCAGGCCACCGCAGGUUAGGAAUUGCACAGCAAGAUGGCUUUCCCAACUCCACCAUGGCUAGAGCCUCCUCUGCAGGGGCUGAAUCCCAUUGACCUUGGCUUCAUUUGGAUACAUUUCAAGGGUGAGCCACACAUUCCUUGGAAACUGAUAAAUGUCUACAACAGCUUCUGGUACCCAGUGUUCUCAGUCACUUUACAAAGAUCAUGGAUGUACCUUCCAGUUUGCUUCGGGUUUGCAGCCACCACUCAGGAGACCCUGCAUUCCCUACUUGUCCCCCUUGCCAGCAAACAUCAGAGAGGAGCAGGCUGGAGCCAGAGGUAGCAGGCCCUGUGCCUCAGCAGCUGACUGGCCAGGUGCAUUUUGAAGACCACAGGACAAGGUUUCCUAAGAAGGCCCCUGCCCUUUGAUAGUGUUUUGCCUGCGUGAGUGAACGAAGACUGGUUCUGAUGGGUUGAAAAGUCUUCCUGCUGGGAGCAAACCAAGUCUCUGCGUGUGCCAGUAUCUACACUGCCCCUUUCAGCAGUGAGAAUCCAGACAAGACUUCACGAAUGCCUUGCCGGGCAGCUGGGGUGCAUUCAAAGCUGAGAACCUACCCUAAUCUUUGCAAAACCAACAAAGAUAAGCAACAGCUUUAGCCGGCUGAACCGAGCUGACGCUCUGCUGCACAAUGCCCUUGUGACCAUUAUCCCAGCUCUGACCGCCGCAUGGCACUGCUCGAGCAUGCUGGCAAUAUUUAACAAGCCAUCUGUCUUGUACCUGUUCCCACCGCAGA